GCAGUGGUAGUGUAGUGGUUAAUGAGCUGGGCUAGCGAGCCAGAAAAGUUGUGGGUUCAAUUCCCACACAAUGUA
This 75-nucleotide transfer RNA is filed under the name Alosa alosa (allis shad). RNAcentral's name for it is "tRNA-OTHER". It matches the Rfam family "tRNA". Rfam says of the family: Transfer RNA (tRNA) molecules are approximately 80 nucleotides in length. Their secondary structure includes four short double-helical elements and three loops (D, anti-codon, and T loops). Further hydrogen bonds mediate the characteristic L-shaped molecular structure. tRNAs have two regions of fundamental functional importance: the anti-codon, which is responsible for specific mRNA codon recognition, and the 3' end, to which the tRNAs corresponding amino acid is attached (by aminoacyl-tRNA synthetases). tRNAs cope with the degeneracy of the genetic code in two manners: having more than one tRNA (with a specific anti-codon) for a particular amino acid; and 'wobble' base-pairing, i.e. permitting non-standard base-pairing at the 3rd anti-codon position. The record is from RNAcentral. Lineage: Eukaryota; Metazoa; Chordata; Actinopteri; Clupeiformes; Clupeidae.